This 801-nucleotide ribosomal RNA is filed under the name uncultured bacterium. Its description in RNAcentral is "bacterial SSU rRNA". It matches the Rfam family "Bacterial small subunit ribosomal RNA", at positions 569 to 1377 of the family's 1533-position model. The record is from RNAcentral.
CUGUAGGUGGUACUGAAAGUNUGCUGUUAAAGAAUCACNCUCNACGUGAUCNAAGCAGUGGAAACUACNGAACUAGAGUGCGGUAGGGGCNAAAGGAAUUCCUGGUGUAGCGGUGAAAUGGGUNGAUAUCAGGAAGAACACCGGUGGCGAAAGCGUUUUGCUAGACCGCAACUGACACUGAGGGACGAAAGCUAGGGGAGCGAAUGGGAUUAGAUACCCCAGUAGUCCUAGCCGUAAACGAUGGAUACUAGGCGUGGCUUGUAUCGACCCCGAGCCGUGCCGGAGCUAACGCGUUAAGUAUCCCGCCUGGGGAGUACGCACGCAAGUGUGAAANUCAAAGGAAUUGACGGGGGCCCGCACAAGCGGUGGAGUAUGUGGUUUAAUUCGAUGCAACGCGAAGAACCUUACCAAGACUUGACAUCCUGCGAAUCCUGGUGAAAGCUGGGAGUGCCUUAGGGAGCGCAGAGACAGGUGGUGCAUGGCUGUCGUCAGCUCGUGUCGUGAGAUGUUGGGUUAAGUCCCCGCAACGAGCGCAACCCCUCGUUUUUAGUUGCCAGCAUUAAGAUGGGCACUCUAGAGAGACUGCCGGUGACAAACCGGACCAAGGUGAGGAUGACGUCAAGUCAGCAUGCCCCUUACGUCUUGGGCUACNNCGUACUACAAUGCUACGACAAGGGCAGCUACNCAGCGAUGUGAUGCAAUCUCAGAAACCGUAGCUCANUUCAAUCCAAGGCUGCACUCNCCUUCNUGAAGGAGAAUCCCUANUAUUGCAGGUCACNUACUGCAGUGAAUUCUUUCCGG